CUUGAUUUUGAUGUUUAAAAAGACAUGUAUUCUUCCAGCUGGAGGUUUCACACAGCUGCAACACAUAAGCAGUUUGUCUCAAUUGCAGAUCUGUAGUCAAAUCGUAGGUUUUUUUUUUCCUCAGCUGGGGUUUCUGUCUUCUCAUUGACACAUUCACAAGGCCUUUGAGAAAUUAGCAACAGAAAGACCUCUGCUGACAGAGAACAGAUUUAGAAGAAAAGCACUGAAAACAGAAAUAAAACCACAAGGCAAUUAAGUUUUUGAUACAAAAGAGCAGAAGGCAGGAUGGUGAAGCGGUACACGUGUCCUCUCUGGGGAGCACUGAUUCCCAUAACAGCCCUGUGCAGCAUCAGGCUUGACAUGCAGCUUUGCAGCAGCAGCUGCUUUUGCCUGCUCGAACAGCAUUGGCACGCCAACCUGUGACAUAUCAGGACACAUACACAAAGUUCACAGGCACCAGCGUCGGGAACGGUCACAGGCAGUCAUUCGCUGUGCUGUGUUGCUAACUGGCAUCCAGAAACCUCUGUCAAGGACACAGUAUUGUCAGUUACCUUCCAAAAUCCUGAGUUCUUUAAAAAUAAAGAUAUUACAAGAAAUCGAAAUAUUUAUACUUCUUUUCUGACUUCUCUGCUUCUACAAUAAUGUCAUGU
Columba livia (rock pigeon) is the source of this 650-nucleotide long non-coding RNA. RefSeq lists it as uncharacterized. The record is from RefSeq and is a predicted model, not a curated record. Lineage: Eukaryota; Metazoa; Chordata; Aves; Columbiformes; Columbidae. The transcript is spliced from 4 exons.